GCACUUAUAGCUCAGGUGGAUAGAGCGCUCCCCUCCUAAGGGAGAGGCCGCUGGUUCGAAUCCAGCUAGGUGCACCA
This 77-nucleotide transfer RNA is filed under the name Clostridiales bacterium. Its description in RNAcentral is "tRNA-Arg". It matches the Rfam family "tRNA". Rfam says of the family: Transfer RNA (tRNA) molecules are approximately 80 nucleotides in length. Their secondary structure includes four short double-helical elements and three loops (D, anti-codon, and T loops). Further hydrogen bonds mediate the characteristic L-shaped molecular structure. tRNAs have two regions of fundamental functional importance: the anti-codon, which is responsible for specific mRNA codon recognition, and the 3' end, to which the tRNAs corresponding amino acid is attached (by aminoacyl-tRNA synthetases). tRNAs cope with the degeneracy of the genetic code in two manners: having more than one tRNA (with a specific anti-codon) for a particular amino acid; and 'wobble' base-pairing, i.e. permitting non-standard base-pairing at the 3rd anti-codon position. Lineage: Bacteria; Bacillati; Bacillota; Clostridia; Eubacteriales. The record is from RNAcentral.